Molecule: ribosomal RNA, 497 nt
Filed under: uncultured bacterium
Lineage: Bacteria
Description: partial 16S ribosomal RNA
Rfam family: Bacterial small subunit ribosomal RNA
Source: RNAcentral
GACGAACGCUGGCGGCGUGCCUAAUACAUGCAAGUUGAGCGAUGAAGCUUGGUGCUUGCACCAAUUUGAAGAGCAGCGAACGGGUGAGUAACGCGUGGGGAAUCUGCCUUUGAGCGGGGGACAACAUUUGGAAACGAAUGCUAAUACCGCAUAAUAACUUUAAACAUAAGUUUUAAGUUUGAAAGAUGCAAUUGCAUCACUCAAAGAUGAUCCCGCGUUGUAUUAGCUAGUUGGUGAGGUAAAGGCUCACCAAGGCGAUGAUACAUAGCCGACCUGAGAGGGUGAUCGGCCACAUUGGGACUGAGACGCGGCCCAAACUCCUACGGGAGGCAGCAGUAGGGAAUCUUCGGCAAUGGACGAAAGUCUGACCGAGCAACGCCGCGUGAGUGAAGAAGGUUUUCGGAUCGUAAAACUCUGUUGGUAGAGAAGAACGUUGGUGAGAGUGGAAAGCUCAUCAAGUGACGGUAACUACCCAGAAAGGGACGGCUAACUACGUG